GGUCUGGUAGAUCCUACAGGAGUAGCACAUGCCAGUCUCAAAGGUUAAUCCACAGUGGUGGUGUGAAUGGCUGGAUGUGGGUUCAGCUUCUACAUAGAUAACUGGUUAUUGUAGAACUGAUCUACAUCUGCGGCUGCUGUGACUCUGGUGAUUCUAGGUAACCUAGAUCAAUCACAUUUUCCCCCCACCCCUGCCAUGGCCCUGUCACUCUUAGGUAGCCGUUAUAGUGCCUGCUGAGACGACCACUGUGACCAAGAAUCUUAGUAAUAGGGAAUCUCAAUUUGGUUCUGCAGAGAGAGCCUGAUAAAUUAAUAUUCUAUCUAAGGAACGCAGCAGGCGCACAAAUUACCCACUCCCAACCCUGGAAGAUAAUGAUUAAAACAACAUGGAACUCUUUCAAGGCCCUGUAGUUGGAAAGAGUCCACUUUAAAUCCUUUAAAGAGAAUCUAUUGCAGGGCAAGCCUGGUGCUGGCAGCCACGGUAAUCGCACUUUCAGUGUGGUGUGCUGAAUUUGUGGCCAUUAAAAUGCUUGUUCUUGGAUCUUAGGUGCUGCCGGGGUCCAUUGCAAGAAAGUCCAUGCCUCUUGCCUUUUGGUACCUUAUGGGCUCUUCCCUGAGUUUCCCUGGAGCUGAAGUGUGCACUUGAAGAAAAUUAGUGUUCAAAGUAGUGUGGGCUGCCUGGAUACUGCUGGUGGGAAUCAUGGAAUGGGAGUGUGGUUCUAUUUUGUUUGUGUCAAACUUUGAGGAAGCUGAUUAAGCAGGGCAGUUGGGGCAUUAGUAUUGCACCGCUAGGACUCAAAUUCUGGGCCGGUAGUAAGACUGAUCAGAGUGAAAGCUUUUGCCAAGGAUGUUUUCAUUAACCAAGGAUGAAGGUGAAAGUAGGAAGUUUAAAGAAGUUCAGGUCCUGUGUAGUUACGAACAUAAAUGUGAUGUUGACCACUGCAUUAAUGCCCAUGACCCACUAGCAGCUUCCAGGAAACCAGAGCCCUUUGGGUUGUGGUAGGGGGAAGGUCUGUGUUCAAAGCUGAAUCUGAAAGGCAGCAGCAGUAGAGAUGGCAUAAUUCUACUCAACAUGAGCAACCUUACCUGCUUCCAGCACAGACAGGAUUGUCCCAUUGAUAGUUGUUCUGUGGAUGGGGGUGCGUGGCUUUUCUACUCGAUGAAGAGAUUUGACUGGUAGUUAAUCGAUAACCAGGAAGACUAGCAUACUAACCAGUUAGGCGAGCAUUCAGCAUCCCCCAGUUCAGACAAAUGACAUUCAGCCAUCUGAGAUUGAGCAGUUAGACUCUGGAUCGCCCAACUGGUUAGCACACUAGUCUCCUUGGUUAUCUAGUCACCAGACGGAUCUCUCCACCAGCCUAGAAAAGGCAUGCACCCCCACCCACAGAAGAGUAGCCACAGGUCUGUGAUGCUCUUAAAUUCCUGGAACCAUGCACCACACUGCUCUCAGCAUGUGCUCAUUUGAAUCCGAUGGGUGCCAGAGACCCAUUAAGUCCAUUAGUGAUGCGGAUCGGGAUUGUAGUAAUUCCUUGUUAAGGAAGAAUUCCCCGUGAGAGAGCAGGCCGAAAGUAUGCAUUAAGUUUCUGCUGAUUCUCCCUCAAUA
Chlorocebus sabaeus (green monkey) is the source of this 1602-nucleotide ribosomal RNA. It matches the Rfam family "Eukaryotic small subunit ribosomal RNA". The record is from Rfam. NCBI's taxonomy places the organism in Eukaryota, Metazoa, Chordata, Mammalia, Primates, Cercopithecidae.